Molecule: non-coding RNA, 21 nt
Filed under: Caenorhabditis elegans
Lineage: Eukaryota; Metazoa; Nematoda; Chromadorea; Rhabditida; Rhabditidae
Source: RNAcentral
UGUCAUUGUGGGAUAUUUUUG